UUUUUUUUUUUCUUUGUUCGAGUACUCAAUAAUUAAUGAUGAGUGUUUGAUUGUGUUAAAUCAACCAAUUUGGUUACUGGGUCAUAGUAAUUCAAUUUGGUGUAUAUUUUGGCCAUUAAGAUUUGAUGAAGAAAUGUGUUGUAAUGAAUCACAGACUGAUGAACAACUAGCCAAGCAAAAGGCAAUUGAUGACUGGCUUCCAAUCACUUCUUCAAGGAAUGCAAAAUGGUGGUACUCAGCUUUUCACAAUGUUACUGCCAUGGUUGGAGCUGGCGUACUCAGUCUUCCAUACGCCAUGGCAGAGCUUGGAUGGGGUCCUGGUGUUGUUAUCCUCGUCCUAUCAUGGGUGAUUACGCUAUACACUUUAUGGCAAAUGGUGGAAAUGCAUGAAAUGGUGCCUGGAAAAAGAUUUGAUAGAUAUCAUGAACUUGGUCAAUAUGCUUUUGGUGAAAAGCUUGGUCUGUACAUUGUGGUUCCUCAGCAACUAGUUGUUGAAGUUGGUGUGUGCAUUGUCUACAUGGUUACUGGAGGCAGAUCAUUGAAAAAGUUUCAUGAUCUUGUAUGCAGUACCUGCAAACAGAUCAAGCUAACUUAUUUCAUAAUGAUCUUUGCCUCUGUUCACUUUGUACUCUCCCACCUUCCUAAUUUCAACUCCAUCUCUGGUGUCUCUCUGGCUGCUGCUGUCAUGUCCUUGAGUUACUCGACCAUUGCUUGGACAGCUUCUGUCCAUAAGGGUGUUCAGCCUGAUGUGCAAUAUGGUUAUGCAGCUAAGAGCACUGCAGGGACAGUCUUCAACUUCUUCAGCGCAUUGGGAGAUGUGGCUUUUGCAUAUGCUGGACACAAUGUGGUAUUGGAGAUUCAAGCAACAAUCCCAUCCACUCCUGAGAAGCCAUCCAAAGGGCCUAUGUGGAGAGGAGUGAUAGUUGCUUACAUAGUUGUCGCCUUGUGUUACUUCCCUGUUGCCCUAAUUGGCUACUGGAUGUAUGGCAAUGCGGUCGAAGACAACAUCCUCAUCUCAUUGCAGAAGCCUGUAUGGCUCAUUGCAAUGGCUAACAUGUUUGUUGUGGUUCACGUUAUUGGAAGCUACCAGAUUUAUGCAAUGCCAGUGUUUGACAUGAUAGAAACUCUAUUAGUAAAGAAAUUACAUUUCAAGCCCAGUUGGUUUCUUCGUUUUUUUGUACGCAACCUUUAUGUAGGACUCACAAUGUUUGUUGGCAUUACCUUCCCUUUCUUUGGCGGUCUCCUUUCAUUUUUUGGCGGAUUUGCUUUCGCCCCAACAACAUAUUUCCUCCCCUGCGUAAUGUGGCUGGCCAUUUACAAACCAAGAAAGUACGGCUUAUCUUGGUGGACUAACUGGAUCUGCAUUAUACUUGGUCUUCUGUUGAUGAUUUUAUCUCCCAUUGGAGGAUUGAGGCAAAUAAUACUUCAAGCUAAGACCUAUUCGUUCUACUCUUAAUCAUCAUUCCCAAUCCAUAUGAAUUGGAUUGCCACAGAAGGUGGAUUUUGGACUAAAGAAAACCAACUAGUGAUGAUGAUGAUGAUGGACGAAGCCGAAAUAGGUGGUGUGCAGCAAUUAUCAGAACCCUGACAGGUUGUGUUCAGAUGAUAUACAUGCUUAUUACUGGAGAAAACAGCAACUAUGGCUAUAGAAAUAUUCUUUUUCUAAACUAGUUGUGAUGCAUAUAUUUUGCCUCUCUUUUUAUGGUUGCUUUGGCAAGUGAAGUGAAUUUUUCAAUUUCUCUUCUUGUUAUAUUGAAAUGAAUGCAAAUAUAACAACAGUCUUUGGCUACUGGAUAUCAUGUCUCGACACUUGCUGGGACUCAAGAAUCAUUUUGUAAAUUAUUGUUAUAGUUCAUGGUUAGUAUCAGAAAUUGAUCAGGC
RNAcentral lists this unclassified non-coding RNA (1881 nucleotides) under Hevea brasiliensis (rubber tree). Lineage: Eukaryota; Viridiplantae; Streptophyta; Magnoliopsida; Malpighiales; Euphorbiaceae. The record is from RNAcentral.